CCAGCAGGCUAUUUUUUACAUACAGUAAUUAUAAUUCUAUAUUCCACAGAACACCUUGCCAUGAAAGCACUUCAAAAGAUGGUAAUUUCUUUUGCAACACAAUUUGCUUCAAUAGUGAUGAACAUAAACUUUAUUCUGGGGCCAUAUUUGUUAUUGGUUUGAGCAGAAGACACUGAAUAGGUUUGGCACUGUAUGAAGAUUUCAUUCAUUUCAAGACAAUGAAUCUAAAUUUUUUGAAGCUGUCACAUAGUUAGAGCAUUGCUGAACUAUGUAUUUCAGGUUUUUACAUGAUAUGUCCAUGCUAUGUAUGAAAAAAGUCCUUGUUUGCCAAAAUAUUUUUGCUGAUACCACACUUUGCCAUUACUGAUCUGGCUGUCUCUGAAAAUGUUUGAAAUCUUUUCUUUUCCAGCAAAUAAAUUAUGAUGCAUUAUGGUGCCACUUGCACUAAAUGCCCAACAGUUUGAGGCCUUUCUAUGUAAAGAGUUUCCAUUUCUUGGAGAACACCCAUCUGAUCUUUGUAGGAUUGACAAGAGCAGAAAGUUGCACGUUUUGACCUGCUCAAUCAAGACACCAUUAGCAAUAAAGGCUCUUGGAGAGCUUGGAAGAUCUGCUCUGUAUAUCAGACCACAGAUGGACAAGGAGAUGACACACUCUGACCCAGAUGAACUGUCAGAGGGAACUGACACUGAGAGUACAUCAUCUGAUCAGUCUUUGGAUUCACAUAACAUGGAAAGCCCAAACAAUUCACCUCUUGCUCUUGCACCUCUAGCUAAACUGAGCCCAACUGAUUUGUCUCUUCCUGAACAAAGCUCGGACAUGUGUUCCUUUCCAGCUGAAAAUAUACCUCCUGUCCAAAACAUGGCACAGUCCCCUACUGGUGCCAAUUCACCUGCUCAACUAAGCCCUACUCAUUCCCCUCUUUCUGAACUAAGUCCAAUCCACUCCCAUCUUAAUGAAGACAGUCCUGUCCAUUCACCUCUUCCUGAAUGAAGCCUGGUCCAUUCUCAACUUAGCGAAAACAGUCCUGUCCAUUCACCUCUUCUUGAGCGAAGCCCGGUCCAUUCCCAAUUUAGCAAAGACAGUCCUGUCCAUUCACGUCUUCCUGAGCAAAGUCCAGUCUAUUCCCAACUUAGCUAAGACAGUCCUGUCCAUUCACCUCUUCCUGAGUGAAGCCCGGUCCAUUCCCAACAUAGCGAAGACAGUCCUGUCCAUUCACCUUUUCCAGAGCGAAGCCUAAUCCAUUCCCAUAUUCGUCAAGAAAGUUCUGACUAUUCAACUCUUCCUGAUUCAAAUUCGCCGACUGACAUUGAUGACAUAAUUUAAAAACUUAAGCGACAAGUAGUAAGACAGCCACCACGUCCAAAUAUCAUACAUGUUUACAGGGAGGACGUAUCAGAUUGCUCAGUAUGGGCCUUUCAGAGGCAGAGGUUCAAUGCAGAGGCCCGUGUUGAUGUAGCAUUUGUUGAUGUUCAAGACAAAGUGAAGGGAUCUGUAGAUGAGGGUGGGCCCAGACAUGAGUUCCUGCGCCUUCUAAUGCAGGAAGUUCAACACUGCAAGAUAUUUGAACGGCCAGAAGGAUCACGGUCAUUAUCGCUUCAUGGUGAUGAUUUGCAAGAAGGACUCUAUAGGACUGUUGGAAAAAUGAUUUUGGUGGCUGUGGUUCAGGGAGGGUUGCCCAUCCAUUUACUCUCUGAGAGGCUAUACUGCCAAAUCAGUGGCCUGCAGCCUCCCAAGUUUACAUUGGAGGAAGUUUCAGAUCACGAAAUCCAGAGUCAGUUGGAGAAAUUCAACACAGCUAGAUCUGUGGAAGAAGCAAGGGCAGCAGUUUCUGCCUUUGCAGACACCUAAGUGUAAUGGGGGCCUUCACUUACAUCAGAAAUUUAGAAGAGCGGGAUAGGGUAAUGCAGAUUGCAUUGCAGUUUUAUCUUCAGGACAGACUUUCACAGGCUCUUUCACAGCUAAAGGAAGGUCUAAUGACUUUGGGGGUCCUAAAUGAGAUUGUAGCUAACCCAGAUAAAUUCCACAGAGUCUUCACAGCAUCCGUUGUGCCUCUAAACUCGACUGACCUAGUGAACCUUUUCAUCCCCAUUUUUCUCGCCGAUUGGAAGUAAUAGGUGAAUGUUUGAGAAUAGAACUCUUGCUUUCUGGAGAGAUUGGCUGUUUGAGGUGGAGGGUAAAUGACUACCACCUGUUAUUAAUUCCUUCUCAUCUGCUUUACCUGCUGUGAGUGGUCCUGAAGAGAAGUGGAGUGUAAGAGGCAAACAGUUCCUUCACUCAGGGAGAGGCUGAGGAUGUUUCUUUCUGUCCACACAAGCUGUCCUUUCUUCUGCACCAGAUGGUUGCUUGCCACUCUAAAGUUGUUUAGUGCAGUGUGUUGUAAGCGUUGUACUGUUAUCUUGGAGUUUUAGUAACUUCAUUAAAGUGUUACUUAUGGUACUACGAGUUAUGUUAUGUGGGAUUAUUCGUAGGGAAGUGAUUGAAUGUUUUCUCCUGUUUCUUGGACUGAAAGGGAGUUAGGGAAGAACAUUGUUUAUUUUGGUUUCUUUUUGUUUACUGCCAUCCCCUUUUUUUUUUUUAGGAAGGUUAACUUUUUGUUAUUUUGGCUCUGUCCCCAUGUAAAUCCCACUGUUUAUGAAAUAAAAGGAAAUUACUUU
Molecule: long non-coding RNA, 2654 nt
Organism: Myxocyprinus asiaticus (Chinese sucker)
Lineage: Eukaryota; Metazoa; Chordata; Actinopteri; Cypriniformes; Catostomidae
Exons: 7
Source: RefSeq, a predicted model, not a curated record